This 469-nucleotide ribosomal RNA is filed under the name uncultured bacterium. RNAcentral describes it as "bacterial SSU rRNA". It matches the Rfam family "Bacterial small subunit ribosomal RNA", at positions 355 to 822 of the family's 1533-position model. The record is from RNAcentral.
UGGGGAAUUUUGGACAAUGGGCGCAAGCCUGAUCCAGCCAUGCCGCGUGAGUGAAGAAGGCCUUCUGGUUGUAAAGCUCUUUUGUCAGGGAAGAAACGGUAGUAGCGAAUAACUAUUACUAAUGACGGUACCUGAAGAAUAAGCACCGGCUAACUACGUGCCAGCAGCCGCGGUAAUACGUAGGGUGCAAGCGUUAAUCGGAAUUACUGGGCGUAAAGCGUGCGCAGGCGGUUGUGUAAGUCAGAUGUGAAAUCCCCGGGCUCAACCUGGGAAUUGCAUUUGAGACUGCACGGCUAGAGUGUGUCAGAGGGGGGUAGAAUUCCACGUGUAGCAGUGAAAUGCGUAGAUAUGUGGAGGAAUACCGAUGGCGAAGGCAGCCCCCUGGGAUAACACUGACGCUCAUGCACGAAAGCGUGGGGAGCAAACAGGAUUAGAUACCCAAGUAGUCCCUGAGCGGGCUGGCAAGGCG